UACGAAGGGGGCUAGCGUUGCUCGGAAUCACUGGGCGUAAAGCGCACGUAGGCGGAUUGUUAAGUCAGGGGUGAAAUCCUGGAGCUCAACUCCAGAACUGCCUUUGAUACUGGCGAUCUUGAGUCCGGGAGAGGUGAGUGGAACUGCGAGUGUAGAGGUGAAAUUCGUAGAUAUUCGCAAGAACACCAGUGGCGAAGGCGGCAUCCUGGACCAAUUCUGACACUGAGGAGCGAAAGCCAGGGGAGCAAACGGG
RNAcentral lists this ribosomal RNA (253 nucleotides) under uncultured bacterium. Its description in RNAcentral is "partial 16S ribosomal RNA". It matches the Rfam family "Bacterial small subunit ribosomal RNA", at positions 524 to 776 of the family's 1533-position model. The record is from RNAcentral.